AUGGCCCGGAGCGCGUACUCGACGGCGCCGAGGCGGAAGCUGGCGAGGGCGGGGCCGAAGCCGAUGGAGAACUGGGAGACGUGGAUGCCCCGGGAGGUGGCGGCGACGAAGUGGCCGGACUCGUGGACGAGCACGAUGGACGCGAGGACGGACGCGGCGGACGCGACGGACUGGACGCUGGCGAGGAGGUCGGACGGGGAGGCCGCGACGGCGACGGCGACGGAGAAGGGCUUGUUGGCGAGGUGGGAAUGGGGGUGGCGGUGGCGGCGCAGCGGGCCGGCGGCGAGGGAGGGCGAGUGGAAAAAGGGGCGGAAUGGUGGCUUGGAGAUAAUCAUGGUGAGAGGGGAGGAAGUGGAUAAUUUGGCAUCCUUGGGAGCUUGGAGGUGUGGCCGGUUUGUUGGCCAUGGCUGUGUGGUGUGGGUUGACGCAGGCGGGGCGACUGACCGCGGCCACAGCAUUAUGAGGAGUUUUGCUCAGCGAGCCUGUGUUACAUGGUGA
RNAcentral lists this ribosomal RNA (498 nucleotides) under Triticum aestivum (bread wheat). RNAcentral's name for it is "partial small subunit ribosomal RNA". Lineage: Eukaryota; Viridiplantae; Streptophyta; Magnoliopsida; Poales; Poaceae. The record is from RNAcentral.